GGGGCAGCAUGGUCUUAGCUUGCUAAGGCUGAUGGCGACCGGCGCACGGGUGAGUAACACGUAUCCAACCUGCCGUCUACUCUUGGCCAGCCUUCUGAAAGGAAGAUUAAUCCAGGAUGGCAUCAUGAGUUCACAUGUCCGCAUGAUUAAAGGUAUUUUCCGGUAGACGAUGGGGAUGCGUUCCAUUAGAUAGUAGGCGGGGUAACGGCCCACCUAGUCAACGAUGGAUAGGGGUUCUGAGAGGAAGGUCCCCCACAUUGGAACUGAGACACGGUCCAAACUCCUACGGGAGGCAGCAGUGAGGAAUAUUGGUCAAUGGGCGAUGGCCUGAACCAGCCAAGUAGCGUGAAGGAUGACUGCCCUAUGGGUUGUAAACUUCUUUUAUAAAGGAAUAAAGUCGGGUAUGCAUACCCGUUUGCAUGUACUUUAUGAAUAAGGAUCGGCUAACUCCGUGCCAGCAGCCGCGGUAAUACGGAGGAUCCGAGCGUUAUCCGGAUUUAUUGGGUUUAAAGGGAGCGUAGAUGGAUGUUUAAGUCAGUUGUGAAAGUUUGCGGCUCAACCGUAAAAUUGCAGUUGAUACUGGAUGUCUUGAGUGCAGUUGAGGCAGGCGGAAUUCGUGGUGUAGCGGUGAAAUGCUUAGAUAUCACGAAGAACUCCGAUUGCGAAGGCAGC
RNAcentral lists this ribosomal RNA (672 nucleotides) under uncultured Bacteroidales bacterium. RNAcentral's name for it is "bacterial SSU rRNA". It matches the Rfam family "Bacterial small subunit ribosomal RNA", at positions 66 to 725 of the family's 1533-position model. The record is from RNAcentral. Lineage: Bacteria; Pseudomonadati; Bacteroidota; Bacteroidia; Bacteroidales.